GACGAACGCUGGCGGCGUGCUUAACACAUGCAAGUCGAACGGGAUUUAGUAGACAGAAGCCUCGGCUAAAGAUUACUAAUGAGAGUGGCGAACGGGUGAGUAACGCGUGAGCAACCUGCCUAUGACAGUGGGAUAGCCUCGGGAAACCGGGAUUAAUACCGCAUAAAAUCGUAGAAACACAUGUUUUAACGGUCAAAGAUUUAUCGGUCAUAGAUGGGCUCGCGUCUGAUUAGCUAGUUGGUGAGAUAACAGCCCACCAAGGCGACGAUCAGUAGCCGGUCUGAGAGGCUGAACGGCCACAUUGGAACUGAGACACGGUCCAAACUCCUACGGGAGGCAGCAGUGGGGAAUAUUGCACAAUGGGGGAAACCCUGAUGCAGCGACGCCGCGUGAACGAAGAAGGUAUUCGUAUCGUAAAGUUCUGUCCUAUGGGAAGAUAAUGACAGUACCAUAGAAGAAAGCUCCGGCUAAAUACGUG
Molecule: ribosomal RNA, 478 nt
Filed under: uncultured bacterium
Lineage: Bacteria
Description: partial 16S ribosomal RNA
Rfam family: Bacterial small subunit ribosomal RNA
Source: RNAcentral